AUUGAACGCUGGCGGCAUGCUUUACACAUGCAAGUCGAACGGCAGCGCGGUCUUCGGCCUGGAGGCGAGUGGCGAACGGGCGAGUAAUGCAUCGGAACGUGCCCCGUCGUGGGGGAUAGACCGGCGAAAGCCGGAUUAAUUACGCAUACGACCUGAGGGUGAAAGCGGGGGACCGAAAGGCCUUGCGGUGUUGGAGCGGCCGAUGUCGGAUUAGCUAGUUGGUGGGGUAAAGGCUUACCAAGGCGACGAUCCGUAGCUGGUCUGAGAGGACGACCAGCCACACUGGGAGUGAGCCACGGCCCAGACUUCUACGGGAGGCAGCAGUGGGGAAUGUUGGACAAUGGGGGCAACCCUGAUCCAGCCAUGCCGCGUGCGGGAAGAAGGCCUUCGGGUUGUAAACCGCUUUUGUUCGGGAAGAAAUCCUCUGGGCUAAUACCCCGGGGGUAUGACGGUACCGGAAGAAUAAGCACCGGCUAACUACGUG
Molecule: ribosomal RNA, 484 nt
Filed under: uncultured bacterium
Lineage: Bacteria
Description: partial 16S ribosomal RNA
Rfam family: Bacterial small subunit ribosomal RNA
Source: RNAcentral